AUUUCGUCUGCCAACCCGCAAGAGUCAUUAACGUAAAUGAGUUUCUUCUUGCAAGAGUUCGCAGACGAA
Molecule: microRNA precursor, 69 nt
Organism: Ciona intestinalis (vase tunicate)
Lineage: Eukaryota; Metazoa; Chordata; Ascidiacea; Phlebobranchia; Cionidae
Source: Ensembl